CUGUUAUUGGUAAUGGUGAGAGGUUAGCAUGUUUUGUUGUAGUCUCUGUUAUUGGUAAUGGUGAGAGGUUAGCAUGUUUUGUUGUAGUCUCUGUUAUUGGUAAUGGUGAGAGGUUAGCAUGUUUUGUUGUAGCCUCUGUUAUUGGUAAUGGUGAGAGGUUAGUAUGUUUUGUUGUAGUCUCUGUUAUUGGUAAUGGUGAGAGGUUAGUAUGUUUUGUUGUAGCCUCUGUUAUUGGUAAUGGUGAGAGGUUAGCAUGUUUUGUUGUAGCCUCUGUUAUUGGUAAUGGUGAGAGGUUAGCAUGUUUUGUUGUAGUCUCUGUUAUUGGUAAUGGUGAGAGGUUAACAUGUUUUGUUGUAGUCUCUGUUACUGGUAAUGGUGAGAGGUUAGCAUGUUUUGUUGUAGUCUCUGUUAUUGGUAAUGGUGAGAGGUUAGCAUGUUUUGUUGUAGACUCUGUUAUUUAUUAUCUAGAUCUUUUUUAAUCAUGGCAUCCUCAAAUCAAAUCAAAUCAAAUUUUAUUUG
This is a long non-coding RNA of Oncorhynchus tshawytscha (Chinook salmon), 519 nucleotides long. NCBI's taxonomy places the organism in Eukaryota, Metazoa, Chordata, Actinopteri, Salmoniformes, Salmonidae. The record is from Ensembl.